AAGAAAGAGGACUACUUCUUGACUUGUUGGAUGGGAAAGGAUAGCACUCAGGACGAUCAGCGAAUGGCUCUACAACUGGCUACUAAAAUGUGGAUCUCCUUGAAAAGGAGACCAGUGCAGGGAUGCAUAUUUCAAGGGAAAGAGCCGCUACAAUUCAUCAUACUUUU
Long non-coding RNA from Zingiber officinale, 167 nucleotides. RefSeq lists it as uncharacterized. The record is from RefSeq and is a predicted model, not a curated record. Lineage: Eukaryota; Viridiplantae; Streptophyta; Magnoliopsida; Zingiberales; Zingiberaceae. The transcript has 3 exons.